Molecule: ribosomal RNA, 260 nt
Filed under: uncultured bacterium
Lineage: Bacteria
Description: partial 16S ribosomal RNA
Rfam family: Bacterial small subunit ribosomal RNA
Source: RNAcentral
GAUCCUGGCUCAGGACGAACGCUGGCGGCGUGCCUAAUACAUGCAAGUCGAGCGGACUGAAUGGAAGCUUGCUUCCGUUCGGUUAGCGGCGGACGGGUGAGUAACACGUGGGCAACCUGCCCGUAAGACCGGGAUAACUUCGGGAAACCGGAGCUAAUACCGGAUAACACCGAAGAUCGCAUGAUCUUUGGUUGAAAGGCGGCUUUGGCUGUCACUUACGGAUGGGCCCGCGGCGCAUUAGCUAGUUGGUGAGGUAACGG